Molecule: transfer RNA, 72 nt
Filed under: Camelus bactrianus (Bactrian camel)
Lineage: Eukaryota; Metazoa; Chordata; Mammalia; Artiodactyla; Camelidae
Also listed under: 1 other name
Rfam family: tRNA
About the family: Transfer RNA (tRNA) molecules are approximately 80 nucleotides in length.
Source: Rfam by way of RNAcentral
GGAGGCACAGCUCAAGGGUAGAGCACGUGCUUAGCAUGUAAGAGGCCCUGGGUUCAAGCUCCAGUACCUCCA